UACGUAGGGUGCAAGCGUUGUCCGGAAUUAUUGGGCGUAAAGAGCUUGUAGGCGGUUUGUCGCGUCUGCUGUGAAAUUUCGGGGCUCAACCCCGAACUUGCAGUGGGUACGGGCUAGACUAGAGUGUGGUAGGGGAGACUGGAAUUCCUGGUGUAGCGGUGAAAUGCGCAGAUAUCAGGAGGAACACCGAUGGCGAAGGCAGGUCUCUGGGCCAUAACUGACGCUGAGAAGCGAAAGCAUGGGGAGCGAACAGG
RNAcentral lists this ribosomal RNA (254 nucleotides) under uncultured bacterium. Its description in RNAcentral is "partial 16S ribosomal RNA". It matches the Rfam family "Bacterial small subunit ribosomal RNA", at positions 524 to 776 of the family's 1533-position model. The record is from RNAcentral.